AAGAUCCUGUCACAUGCUCCAAGAAGCUGCAAAUUUGUGUGAGCCCCCGUGAAGAAACCGUCUAAACCUCAGUAUUUCAGCCUCGGAAUUCUACAACCAUUUCAUCUGCUUUAAGGUGGAGAAAGAUCUAGAUAAUUGGCAAUGAUUUCAUGCAGAUCCCUGAACUUGGGCAGCAGCAACUGUAAACUUCUGUACAUGUGAAGAGAAAAGCUAGUGGCAACCAGCAGGAACUUCACCCCUUUAAUUCCUUCCACUGCUUUGUUGUUGU
RNAcentral lists this long non-coding RNA (268 nucleotides) under Ictidomys tridecemlineatus (thirteen-lined ground squirrel). Its description in RNAcentral is "lncRNA (ENSSTOG00000033148.1)". Lineage: Eukaryota; Metazoa; Chordata; Mammalia; Rodentia; Sciuridae. The record is from RNAcentral.